GAAGAAGCAAAAAAGAUGAAAAUUUAAACGGAUUGCUAUUACACUCCUCCUUUCUGGUGAUUCAGGCAAUCUUUAUAUACUUCUACUACUCGAUCUCAGCUCAGCUUUUGAUACUUUCUCUCAUAAGCUAUUACUCAUGUGCCUCUCAAAGAUUGGCAUCUCAGGAGCUGCGUUAUCCUGGUUUUCCUCAUAUUUGACGUACAGACAAUACUACAUCACCAUACAUAACUAUAAAUCUCCCUCUGUCCCUCUUAAACAGGGUGUGCCACAGGGCUCAGUCCUAGGACCAUUAUUAUUUAUUAUUUAUAUUAUGCCCCUCGGACAAAUUAUUCACCGCCACGGUUUACAGUACCACUGCUAUGCCUGCCGACUUCCUGCCAACCUGACUCUAUUCACCAGACUGCAUCUCUAUUGUCAUGCGUCAAUGAGUUAAAGACCUGGCUUAGCUCCAACUCUCUCAGUUUGAAUUUGACUAAAACAGAUAUCUUACUUGUCGGGCCCCCAACUGUAACAAAAAACAUAACAAAUGCCCCUAGAUUUGACCUUGAAGCCUUUUUUCAACUUCGCCGUAUUGCCAAACUCCGUUUCUUCAUCAGCCCAAAAUAUGCCGAAUUACUAGUACAUGCUUUAAUCACAUCUCGCCUUGAUUACUGUAAUGCUCUUUUUUCCGGAUCACCAGUACGUUCCAUCUCUCUAUUGCAAUAUAUUCAAAAUUCUGCUGCAAGAAUGCUAACUUACACUAAACGGUCUGCACAUAUCACUCCUAUUCUAUUCAACCUCCACUGGCUACCUGUGUCCUCUCGUAUCAUUUAUAAAAUUCUUCUGCUUACCUUUAAUCACUCCAUUGUCUUGCACCUACUUAUCUCUCUGACCUGCUUUCUCCAUAUAUUCCCUCUCAUCCACUUCUAUCAUCUGGAGGUGAACUUCUUUGUGUUCCGAGAUUCCGCCUAUCAUCUAUGGGAGGUUGAUCUUUCUCUGUUAUGGCUCCUAAACUUUGGAACACAUUGCCCCUGGCUCUUCGGACAAUAACCACACUCCAUGAAUUUAAGUCUAAACUCAAAACCUAUAUGUUAAAC
RNAcentral lists this long non-coding RNA (1076 nucleotides) under Sinocyclocheilus anshuiensis. RNAcentral's name for it is "lncRNA (ENSSANG00000001120.1)". The record is from RNAcentral. Lineage: Eukaryota; Metazoa; Chordata; Actinopteri; Cypriniformes; Cyprinidae.